ACCACCGGCGGACGGCUCAGUAACACGUCGGUAACCUACCCUCGGGAGGGGGAUAACCCCGGGAAACUGGGGCUAAUCCCCCAUAGGCCUGAGGUACUGGAAGGUCCUCAGGCCGAAAGGGGCUUUUGCCCGCCCGAGGAUGGGCCGGCGGCCGAUUAGGUAGUUGGUGGGGUAACGGCCCACCAAGCCGAAGAUCGGUACGGGCUGUGAGAGCAGGAGCCCGGAGAUGGACACUGAGACACGGGUCCAGGCCCUACGGGGCGCAGCAGGCGCGAAACCUCCGCAAUGCGGGAAACCGCGACGGGGGGACCCCGAGUGCCGUGGCACCGCCACGGCUUUUCCGGAGUGUAAAAAGCUCCGGGAAUAAGGGCUGGGCAAGUCCGGUGGCAGCCGCCGCGGUAAUACCGGCGGCCCGAGUGGCGGCCGUGUUUAUUGGGCCUAAAGGGUCCGUAGCCGGCCCCGUAAGUCUCCCGGGAAAUCGGGCGGCUCAACCGUCCGCUUCCGGGAGAUACUGCGGGGCUAGGGACCGGGAGAGGCCGGGGGUACUCCCGGGGUAGGGGUAAAAUCCUAUAAUCCCGGGGGGACCACCUGUGGCGAAGG
Molecule: ribosomal RNA, 600 nt
Filed under: uncultured archaeon
Lineage: Archaea
Description: bacterial SSU rRNA
Rfam family: Archaeal small subunit ribosomal RNA
Source: RNAcentral